This 2212-nucleotide long non-coding RNA is filed under the name Pogona vitticeps (central bearded dragon). RNAcentral describes it as "lncRNA (ENSPVIG00000005618.1)". Lineage: Eukaryota; Metazoa; Chordata; Lepidosauria; Squamata; Agamidae. The record is from RNAcentral.
AUGGAGAGGUUUCUGCUGUGCGCCCUGGUUUUCCUGCGCUCUUUGGACGCCGCGGUUGCGAGAACCGCGAAUACGCCGGGACACCGAGCGUGGAACGCCGAGUUCCAGCCCAGCCUCGACGCCUCGCGGUGUCCCCAAGAGGAGCCCCACCAGCACGGGCUCCGCGAUGGUCCAGGCGAGGGGAACACUUGCCGCCCAGCCGCCGCCGCGGCUUCCCUGUCGGCCCAGCCCGGCGUGGCUCUGGCCCGGUGGUCCACCGAGGGCUGGCCGGAGGCAAACGCCAGCCGCCCUGAGGGAGGGGAAACGGACGACCCCGCCGCGAUCGAAAACAGCGAAACGGCGUACUGGGGCUACAUGUUUCUUUUCGUCCUGCUACUUCUGGCUGUGCUUGCUUGUUGCUUCUUCUCCUUGGCGUCUCGGAAUCCGGCGUCAUGGCCAGCCGGCCAGAGGCCUGAAGAAUAUCUUCUGAGGAAGUACACCCGUCUCCACCGUCCACGAGACUACGGCACACUCCCAAACACAGCCCCACAGUCUGCAGACGGCCAGGACUCUGACACCGUGGGGGAAAACCCCCCACUCCUUGCGCCUGCUGCCGGUCAAGAGGACGCGUUGCCUUCAGCUGGCUUGGGGGAGAGGACGGAGCCGAAGUCUGUGCCAGACACCACUGUGGAAAUCGAAGGCUCUACCUAGAGAGUGGAAGACCCAACGUGGUGCAUUUAUCCAAAAAGGACGCCCUAUUCUGGCUAAAUUCAGGUUUCUUUUUAGGAUCAAGGAAGCAAACCACUGCUAUAGGACUGUGCUUUUAAUCACACAUAUUGACUCAAGCUGACUGUUCUUUUAAAUGUUGUGACAUACUUUUCCAGAAAUGGACUGAGCAAACAAGAUGUAAAUAUUUUCCCACUAUCCCUGCAUGCUGAGUGGUCAACCUGUGGCUCUCCAGGUUUGGCUGGCCUGCAGCUCCCAUCAUCCACUGGUAUGCAGCCCCAGAGUUGAUGGGAGAGGCAGUCCAGUCAUAUCCAGAGGACCCAAAUUUGCCCGCCUGUGGGUGACUCUGUGAAGCUUCUGUGGUGCCUUCUGCUCAAUGUCUUCACUUUAGAGGAGUGCUUCCCAGCCUUGGGUCACCCAGAUGUUCUUGGACUGCAGUUCCCAGAAACCUCGGCCAGACCAGCUGGUGGUGAAGGCUUCUGCGUGUCUCAGUCCAAGAACACCUGGGUGACCCAAGGUUGGGGACCCUUGCUUUAGAGGCCUUGAAGAUGAGGGUCAACCUGUCAUGUUGAUGUGGCUGGACUGGAACGGCCCCACUUCUCCCAUUUUAAGUAGUUUCAGUGAAGGAGUUGAUGUACUUUAGAUCAGCCUUUCUUUGGCCUACACUGGUAGAAAAUCUGGCUCCACAAGGGGGUGGGCCUAUGAAGUGAGGGGUAGGGCUCCUGUCCUUUUAGCAGCAGCUUAGAAGAAGACAUUCCAACAGGCCUAACUUGUAAAACAACAUCUGUUCAAUUAUGAAAGGGACAGGAGUACCACUUGCCAUUCCUGGGGCCACCCUGAUCAACCAACACCUUUUCUUGUUGGUGCCAAAAUGGCACAGCCCCUCUUCCAAGCUUGUCCAAAACCCCAGUGAUCAGACGAGGAACCAAGAUCUGUUUGCAAAGGCGUUCCACGUAGCCACAGAAUCCUGUGAGAUGGGAGAGUCAAUGUUUCCAGUCAAAACUCCACUGGGAGAGCAGCGAACCGGGGGAAACGAAGCAGAGGUCCCUGAAAUGGACUCCUUAAACAUUGCCAACGAAGACGCAGGUCAAAACGACUGUUCAGAUGUGACGUGAAAGGCUUAGGUUGACCUGGCCUUGUACCAAACCUGCCUCGAGAUGUGUGUGUAUGAGGGUGGGUGGGUAAAGUACUUUGGCUCAGCUAAUAUAUGACAGAUUCUGUUUGUCCGCCCACUCCGACUUGAGACCCACUGUCUUACCCCUGGAUAAUUGUUUGUGGUGGUUUUGAGGUCCCCACUCACAUCAGCAAGGUUGUGUACCCACUUUUGUCGAUGAAGCCAAAACAGGCAAACCGCAGGGGUCUUGCCCCUUUGGAACGGAAAUGCUCCUGCGGUGCAGGAUGCUGUUCUUAGCACAGACACAAUGACCACAGCAUGUUUUCCAAUGUGCACACCGACCUAUAAAGAUGUAUCAAUAAAGAUUCUGCUCUUGGUGAGUCGAAAUGGCUU